GACGAACGCUGGCGGCGUGCUUAACACAUGCAAGUCGAACGGAAAGGCCCUGCUUGCAGGGUACUCGAGUGGCGAACGGGUGAGUAACACGUGGAUGAUCUGCCCUGCACUUCGGGAUAAGCCUGGGAAACUGGGUCUAAUACCGGAUAGGAGCCAUUUUUAGUGUGAUGGUUGGAAAGUUUUUUCGGUGUAGGAUGAGCUCGCGGCCUAUCAGCUUGUUGGUGGGGUAAUGGCCUACCAAGGCGGCGACGGGUAGCCGGCCUGAGAGGGUGGACGGCCACAUUGGGACUGAGAUACGGCCCAGACUCCUACGGGAGGCAGCAGUGGGGAAUAUUGCACAAUGGGCGCAAGCCUGAUGCAGCGACGCCGCGUGGGGGAUGACGGCCUUCGGGUUGUAAACUCCUUUCGCUAGGGACGAAGCUUUUUGUGACGGUACCUAGAUAAGAAGCACCGGCUAACUACGUG
Molecule: ribosomal RNA, 465 nt
Filed under: uncultured bacterium
Lineage: Bacteria
Description: partial 16S ribosomal RNA
Rfam family: Bacterial small subunit ribosomal RNA
Source: RNAcentral